This 258-nucleotide ribosomal RNA is filed under the name Vibrio sp. s2p1. RNAcentral describes it as "partial 16S ribosomal RNA". It matches the Rfam family "Bacterial small subunit ribosomal RNA", at positions 826 to 1083 of the family's 1533-position model. The record is from RNAcentral. Lineage: Bacteria; Pseudomonadati; Pseudomonadota; Gammaproteobacteria; Vibrionales; Vibrionaceae.
GUGGCCUUGAGCCGUGGCUUUCGGAGCUAACGCGUUAAGUAGACCGCCUGGGGAGUACGGUCGCAAGAUUAAAACUCAAAUGAAUUGACGGGGGCCCGCACAAGCGGUGGAGCAUGUGGUUUAAUUCGAUGCAACGCGAAGAACCUUACCUACUCUUGACAUCCAGAGAACUUUCCAGAGAUGGAUUGGUGCCUUCGGGAACUCUGAGACAGGUGCUGCAUGGCUGUCGUCAGCUCGUGUCGUGAGAUGUUGGGUUAA